Long non-coding RNA from Gossypium raimondii (Peruvian cotton), 572 nucleotides. RefSeq lists it as uncharacterized. The transcript has 2 exons. Lineage: Eukaryota; Viridiplantae; Streptophyta; Magnoliopsida; Malvales; Malvaceae. The record is from RefSeq and is a predicted model, not a curated record.
AGGACGCUUGGUUAAAGGAAGAGAUUGGGCCUAUCAGAGGAAACGAUGGGAGAAGGCCUAUAAAUUAGGCCCACAUUUGACCCCAAAUUAACCCCUAUUGCCCCAACAUAGACCUCAUCUCGUUAAAGGCAACCAAGUUGGGAUUUUGAGGGUCCAAUGAGGACAAGCUGAAACUCGUCGGAGGGGGAGAAAAGGGGAAAAAGAUGAUUUACCGAAAAUGGAGUUUGCUGACAGGACCAGUCUCCAUCCUUGGCGGAAUCGUUGGAGCCACUGUGGUUGCCCACCUAAUCUUCCUUGACGAUCCAUAUCUUAAACCCAAGAAGAAGACGAUCGACAGAGAAGAAAGAAGUUGACAGUUGCUUUGUUGGUUUGGCAAAUGCAUAGGUUUGUUGAAAAAUACCAAAUCUGGUUGUAAUAUAAUUUGCUUAGCUUAGUAAAAGCUUGAAUGAAUGCAAAGGAACAAUUUGAUUUAGUUACAAGACAGGAAAUUGAAUGUCUCCUAUAAAUGCUGGGGAUUUGUUUGUUCCUCCUGAAAUUAAGGCAAGGAAACUUCUAAGAUUUUCAAUUUUCAA